Molecule: long non-coding RNA, 543 nt
Organism: Lepus europaeus (European hare)
Lineage: Eukaryota; Metazoa; Chordata; Mammalia; Lagomorpha; Leporidae
Exons: 3
Source: RefSeq, a predicted model, not a curated record
GGCGAGGGUUACCUCAGGGCUGGAGAGGCUGUGGGCUGUGGAGCGGCGUCCCUGCGGUCAGGACAGUGGGCAGGUGGUUCCCCGCAGGCAGCCCGCGUAUCCCAACCUUGGCUGUGGUCAAGAAGAAGGGGAACGCUCACCUAUGCUCCCGUCUCAUGGCCCAGGACAGAGGUAGCCAGCCCAAGUGCCCAGAAAACAACGCGCCAUUUGAUUUCCUCGUGACUGGAUUUCACGGCUAGGGAGGAGUUCCCCUUCCUCUGAAACGGAUGUAUUUUAAAAGUUACGUAGUUUUCCUCAAGCAUUCUCCGCCUGACUUCUUAAUGCUUCCCCGUCACUAAGCAUCUUGAGGCGGGGGAAGGGCUUCAGUCCAGACCGAAUAGAAUACAUUCGAAUCCACGUAGUAACAUCACUGCAUUUUGACAUCAUUUGCGGAUGUUAACGUUCACUUCACGGUACUUGAAGCCAUCACAUCCUACAUAUUACUGAGAAGAUUGAGGCAUACAUGGUCAUGUUCCCUUGAAGAUAGAUGGAAGUUUGUUGGUG